GAUUCUGGCUCAGGAUGAACGCUAGCGGCAGGCUUAACACAUGCAAGUCGAGGGGCAGCGGGAUGUAGCAAUACAUUGCCGGCGACCGGCGGAUGGGUGCGUAACGCGUAUGCAACCUACCUUAUACAGGGGAAUAACCUUUCGAAAGGGAGACUAACACCCCAUGGUAUUGAUUUAAGGCAUCUUAGAUUAAUUAAAUAUUUAUAGGUAUAAGAUGGGCAUGCGUAUGAUUAGCUAGUUGGUAAGGUAACGGCUUACCAAGGCGACGAUCAUUAGGGGUUCUGAGAGGAAGGUCCCCCCACACUGGUACUGAGACACGGACCAGACUCCUACGGGAGGCAGCAGUGAGGAAUAUUGGUCAAUGGGCGCAAGCCUGAACCAGCCAUGCCGCGUGCAGGAAAGACGGCCUUAUGGGUUGUAAACUGCUUUUACAUAAGACUAACCGUAUAUUUGCGAAUAUACCUGAAUGUAUUAUGAGAAUAAGGAUCGGCUAACUCCGUGCCAGCCGCUGC
Molecule: ribosomal RNA, 512 nt
Filed under: uncultured bacterium
Lineage: Bacteria
Description: bacterial SSU rRNA
Rfam family: Bacterial small subunit ribosomal RNA
Source: RNAcentral